RNAcentral lists this ribosomal RNA (590 nucleotides) under Pseudomonas koreensis. Its description in RNAcentral is "bacterial SSU rRNA". It matches the Rfam family "Bacterial small subunit ribosomal RNA", at positions 166 to 750 of the family's 1533-position model. Lineage: Bacteria; Pseudomonadati; Pseudomonadota; Gammaproteobacteria; Pseudomonadales; Pseudomonadaceae. The record is from RNAcentral.
AUACCGCAUACGUCCUACGGGAGAAAGCAGGGGACCUUCGGGCCUUGCGCUAUCAGAUGAGCCUAGGUCGGAUUAGCUAGUUGGUGAGGUAAUGGCUCACCAAGGCGACGAUCCGUAACUGGUCUGAGAGGAUGAUCAGUCACACUGGAACUGAGACACGGUCCAGACUCCUACGGGAGGCAGCAGUGGGGAAUAUUGGACAAUGGGCGAAAGCCUGAUCCAGCCAUGCCGCGUGUGUGAAGAAGGUCUUCGGAUUGUAAAGCACUUUAAGUUGGGAGGAAGGGUUGUAGAUUAAUACUCUGCAAUUUUGACGUUACCGACAGAAUAAGCACCGGCUAACUCUGUGCCAGCAGCCGCGGUAAUACAGAGGGUGCAAGCGUUAAUCGGAAUUACUGGGCGUAAAGCGCGCGUAGGUGGUUUGUUAAGUUGGAUGUGAAAUCCCCGGGCUCAACCUGGGAACUGCAUCCAAAACUGGCAAGCUAGAGUAUGGUAGAGGGUGGUGGAAUUUCCUGUGUAGCGGUGAAAUGCGUAGAUAUAGGAAGGAACACCAGUGGGCGAAAGCGACCACCUGGACUGAUACUGACACUGAG